RNAcentral lists this ribosomal RNA (422 nucleotides) under uncultured bacterium. RNAcentral describes it as "bacterial SSU rRNA". It matches the Rfam family "Bacterial small subunit ribosomal RNA", at positions 355 to 774 of the family's 1533-position model. The record is from RNAcentral.
UGAGGAAUAUUGGGCAAUGCCCGCAAGGGUGACCCAGCAACGCCGCGUGGAGGAUGAAUGUCGUAAGAUUGUAAACUCCUGUUAGAGGGGAAGAAUAGUACCGGUUGGACCGGUAUAUGACUGUACCCUCAGAGAAAGCCCCGGCUAACUACGUGCCAGCAGCCGCGGUACUACGUAGGGGGCAAGCGUUGUCCGGAUUUACUGGGUGUAAAGGGCGCGCAGGCGGGAUAAAAAGUCAGUGGUGAAAUCCUACAGCUUAACUGUAGAACUGCCUUUGAUACUUUUAUUCUUGAGUUCGGGAGAGAGAGACGGAAUUCCAGGUGUAGUGGUGAAAUGCGUAGAUAUCUGGAAGAACACCAGUUGCGAAGGCGGUCUCUUGGUCCGACACUGACGCUGAGGCGCGAAAGCGUGGGGAGCAAACA